GAUGAACGCUGGCGGCGUGCCUAAUACAUGCAAGUCGAGCGAACAGAUGAGGAGCUUGCUCCUUUGACGUUAGCGGCGGACGGGUGAGUAACACGUGGGUAACCUACCUAUAAGACUGGGAUAACUUCGGGAAACCGAAGCUAAUACCGGAUAAUAUUUCAAACCGCAUGGUUCGAUAGUGCAAGAUGGCUUUGCUAUCACUUAUAGAUGGACCUGCGCCGUAUUAGCUAGUUGGUAAGGUAACGGCUUACCAAGGCAACGAUACGUAGCCGACCUGAGAGGGUGAUCGGCCACACUGGAACUGAGACACGGUCCAGACUCCUACGGGAGGCAGCAGUAGGGAAUCUUCCGCAAUGGGCGAAAGCCUGACGGAGCAACGCCGCGUGAGUGAUGAAGGUCUUCGGAUCGUAAAACUCUGUUAUUAGGGAAGAACAAACGUGUAAGUAACUGUGCACGUCUUGACGGUACCUAAUCAGAAAGCCACGGCUAACUACGUGCCAGCAGCCGCGGUAAUACGUAGGUGGCAAGCGUUAUCCGAAAUUAUUGGGCGUAAAGCGCGCGUAGGCGGUUUUUUAAGUCUGAUGUGAAAGCCCGCGGCUCAACCGUGGAGGGUCAUUGGAAACUGGAAAACUUGAGUGCAGAAGAGGAAAGUGGAAUUCCAUGUGUAGCGGUGAAAUGCGCAGAGAUAUGGAGGAACACCAGUGGCGAAGGCGACUUUCUGGUCUGUAACUGACGCUGAUGUGCGAAAGCGUGGGGAUCAAACAGGAUUAGAUACCCUGGUAGUCCACGCCGUAAACGAUGAGUGCUAAGUGUUAGGGGGUUUCCGCCCCUUAGUGCUGCAGCUAACGCAUUAAGCACUCCGCCUGGGGAGUACGACCGCAAGGUUGAAACUCAAAGGAAUUGACGGGGACCCGCACAAGCGGUGGAGCAUGUGGUUUAAUUCGAAGCAACGCGAAGAACCUUACCAAAUCUUGACAUCCUUUGACCCUUCUAGAGAUAGAAGUUUCCCCUUCGGGGGACAAAGUGACAGGUGGUGCAUGGUUGUCGUCAGCUCGUGUCGUGAGAUGUUGGGUUAAGUCCCGCAACGAGCGCAACCCUUAAGCUUAGUUGCCAUCAUUAAGUUGGGCACUCUAAGUUGACUGCCGGUGACAAACCGGAGGAAGGUGGGGAUGACGUCAAAUCAUCAUGCCCCUUAUGAUUUGGGCUACACACGUGCUACAAUGGACAAUACAAAGGGUAGCGAAACCGCGAGGUCAAGCAAAUCCCAUAAAGUUGUUCUCAGUUCGGAUUGUAGUCUGCAACUCGACUACAUGAAGCUGGAAUCGCUAGUAAUCGUAGAUCAGCAUGCUACGGUGAAUACGUUCCCGGGUCU
Molecule: ribosomal RNA, 1372 nt
Filed under: uncultured bacterium
Lineage: Bacteria
Description: bacterial SSU rRNA
Rfam family: Bacterial small subunit ribosomal RNA
Source: RNAcentral